Molecule: ribosomal RNA, 263 nt
Filed under: uncultured archaeon
Lineage: Archaea
Description: partial 16S ribosomal RNA
Rfam family: Archaeal small subunit ribosomal RNA
Source: RNAcentral
AGUCACUGACAUUAGAUACCCGCGUAGUCCAGGGUGUAAACGCUGCAGACUUGGUGUUGGAGGCCCUUUGGGGGCAUUCAGUGCCGGAGAGAAGUUGUUAAGUCUGCUACUUGGGAGUACGUCCGCAAGGAUGAAACUUAAAGGAAUUGGCGGGGGAGCACCGCAACGGGAGGAGCGUGCGGUUUAAUUGGAUUCAACACCGUAAACUCACCAGGGAAGACUGUUACAUGAAGGCCGAGAUGAAGACUCUGCUAGAUUUUCAG